Long non-coding RNA from Lagenorhynchus albirostris (white-beaked dolphin), 263 nucleotides. RefSeq lists it as uncharacterized. Lineage: Eukaryota; Metazoa; Chordata; Mammalia; Artiodactyla; Delphinidae. The record is from RefSeq and is a predicted model, not a curated record. The transcript is spliced from 3 exons.
ACAAUAAAAGGCAAUAAAACAUUUUACGAGGGCAGAAAUAAGAACUGAGUGAUGAAGUGUGUAUUUGGCUGAUGGUGCAGGCUUGCCACGCCGUCCAGGGGGGCCUAGACAGGAAAACAAGGACGGACUCAUUAAGAAAGGAACCCAAUCAUCCUGCCUCUGCCUUCUGCCCCUCGGCCCAUGUCAGCCCCCGAGAUCUGAGUGACUGCGAUGCUGAAGAGGAAGAGGGCUCUGGGUCAUGGAACCCAGAACCUGGCGGCAGC